AUCGAGCGUGAGGGCGGCGCGAGCGGUUGCGCGAAGAACUAGUAGCGAACUACUAGCGAAUCUGGCGGAAAAACAAUCAAAACCUCUUCUGACAGUUCCCACGCGAAGCAAUUUCCUCGAAUUAACUUGCGCAGUUCUUGUGGAAAAAUCGGGAAAAUAUUGAAGAAAGUCCCGUAAAACCCAGUGAAAAGGUGUGUAAAAACUCUUGAAUAUAUUUCUUUGUGCUGCAAAGUGAGAAAAAAUAGGUGUAUUUGUGAAAAAUUGCAUCAACGGCGACCAGCGAAAUUCUCUGGAGGUGUCAUUCCACAGUUUCCAGGUAUGAAACCGCAGCAAAAAUUGCUACGGGUCCACACCAGAACAUGCUAGAGUACCCUUCAUCGCUAAUCUCCGGAAGUGAACCCCCAUUGCCCAUUCAAAAAGAGCCACGAAUCUGGCGUCCUCCCCACUUCACUGGUGAAGACCGACUGAGCGAUAUCGUCACUUGAAGUUAGCUGUGGUUACAACACCUCUCAAAGUUACACCCCAACUGGACAAUGAUUGGUACUGUUGGCUUAGAAGAGUCUUUGUCGAGACGGGCUUUCUCCCCAACUCCUCUAGGCUCAACAGUCCUACUACAAUACAUUGAUGUCACGAUGAACAGCAUCUUUUUAUUUCAAGUGGUAACAGACCAUCAGAAUGGAUUGUAUGCAAUAUCAUACGGUAUAAGAGAUCCUGGUAAAAGGCAUAUGAAUAUAUCAUUUGUGUUUUGCUGAUUUGUGUUAUAGAAACAAAUUCUAUUAGAUGGACUUAAGCUUGAAAGGCAUUCAAUUGUUCAGAAUAAUUAUAAAAAGCAAUGUAUUUAUUAAAAUCUAUUUUUAAAAUAAAUUUACUGUCUAUUAGAAAGUCUCUUUUAUACCCUACUCAAACCUAAUUUUCAAGUUUUUGACAAAAUAUUUAAAUUCUGUGUCAUGCUGGAUCCACAUAAUGAUUCGUGCUUCAGAUUCGCCUAGGUUUUUGCAAUUUGACAAAACUUCUGGGUAAAUGUAAGUAUUUUGAUAAACAAACAAACUAUGAUUCUAUCUAUCGAUUAUAAUAUCACUGAUUUUGUACUUCGUUAGCAUUACAGUAAACGUAACACUUCAUGCUGAUAUUUAAACUUUGGUUAAAAAGCAAUGCCCUAUUUUUGUAAUUUCAUAUGCGUUCCAUAAUAAUUUAUCGCCACUUUAACCCUCUAACUGGUAAGACCUCUCGAGACGAUCUUCACAAAAAUCACAUUUACUGCGAUUACAAUUUAUUUAAAAGUGCUAUAAUGUCCUCGGUAUACUAACAUCUUUUGAAAGUUUGAUCUCAUUUUGACUUCGUUUAGUUGCUAUCCCCAGUUUUGUGUGACACGUCAGAGAAAAGCAACAAAAAAUAUUUGUACAGAACAAACUCAUUUCUAAUUCCAAGAAAAAUACCGGUUUAAAGUUAUCUGAGUAAAAUAAAUUUAUUUUUUACUUAACUCUUUCCGAACCACAACAUAUCCAGCGAACGAAUUUCAGUAAAACUCACUUUAUUGUAAGUCUUAGUGAUCAAAUAUGAUACUUUUGUAGAGAAAGAAUUUUGUCCGCCUCUGGGAAAUUGGAAAACUCAUGGGUACUCUCGUCCCCAAAAGAGCGAAAAGGAGACAAACUUCAAUUUUCCAAAAGCCAAUAAUAUCAAUUUUGUGAAUUGUUUUUGCGUGUUAAAUGACUCCUUUACAAUGUUGAUCACUAAAACAAGAAGAAUUAUUGACCAGUAUCUUGUGGGAUGUCCAGGAAGUGGUCAAGAAGACACCAAGUUUCUGCUUGCCAACAGAUUCCUCAAAAUAUUUCACAUAAUAACACUUUAAAACACAUUUCCUUCAACACGAAGUUAUUGUAGACAUAUUAAGCUUUCUCAAGAGCCAAAAAAACACUUCUUGGACAAACAGAAUUCACCAAAAUCCGGAAGAAUAGGAGAAACUUCCCCGAAAGCAAUCUGCCUCGCUGCCAAAUGUCAAAAUUAUCAGCCAUAUUGGCAAAAAAGUAGUUCCCGCUUGGAAUUUUGAUAAAAGGUUGGUGUCAAAAAGCAAAUGGCAGGCAUUGGCGGGAUAACCUUACAUUUGACCUCUAGAGUUUUGUGGACGAGAGUACCCAUAAAGUUUGAACAAGUUUUUUGAAAAUUUAAGAAAGAAAUAUUUUUCGAAUUUAUGCAAUCUGUAAUUGCUAGUUAUCAUACUUAUUGGCCCCGAGAGGUUUUUCCUUAUUCUGGUCUAGAAAUAUCAAAAAAGUCACAAUAUCUGCAAGGAAGCAGAAAAUCGAAAAUUCACGAUUUUUGACCAAAAAUAUCUAAGCUCAGGAGUUAAUUAGGAUCCUGCAAAAAAUAUCCUAGAUUUGGACAUCUUUAUAGUUUGUAAUUAUCCAGAAGAAUCAGAUUUUUAUCGAUUCUAGAUAGUCUAAAAAAAUUGUUGCUUCCAUGGGUACCCAUAGUCCCGAAGGAGACGAAAGAGUUAAAGAUAUGUCAUUCUACAUUGUAUAUUUUAUUUGAAAAAUUUUGAAAAAAGUAAAAAUGUGAAUUUUAAAAGCAAAAAGUUUCAUUUUUUUUAAAAUAUUUUCUCACCUAGCGUCUAAACUAAAAGAGAUAAUAAAGAAUGGAUGAUUUUUUUUACUUUAUUGGCUCAUAAAUAUCCUAGAAAACAUUUCCUUACAACUUUUUUUCGCAUAUUAAAGAUAACACUGUUAGAGGGUUAAUAAUCCUAAACGAAACAAAGAAAGUGGGAAAAUAUUCCUAGCAAAAUGGAGUCAUUUUAGGUUAUAUUCUAACAUAAUUCUAAUAAACUAAAAACACUGAGUAAAAAAAAUUAAGUAAAAUUAAAUACAAAAAUAUUUUACCCCUAAUUACAACUCUGUUAAAGCGCCAUCUCUGAUGAAUAAGGGGGUACCUUACAGGUACUUAAAAAAUAACGAAAA
Molecule: long non-coding RNA, 2948 nt
Organism: Phlebotomus papatasi
Lineage: Eukaryota; Metazoa; Arthropoda; Insecta; Diptera; Psychodidae
Exons: 3
Source: RefSeq, a predicted model, not a curated record